This is a non-coding RNA of Lentinula edodes (shiitake mushroom), 101 nucleotides long. The record is from the annotation of a RefSeq genome assembly. Lineage: Eukaryota; Fungi; Basidiomycota; Agaricomycetes; Agaricales; Omphalotaceae.
UCCCUGGUAGUAUAUCGGUUUAGUACACGCGCCUGUCAUAACCAAGAAUUGGUGUUGGUUUCUUUCCGCGCGAAAGCUGGGUUCGACUCCCAGCCAGGGAG